This 476-nucleotide ribosomal RNA is filed under the name uncultured bacterium. Its description in RNAcentral is "bacterial SSU rRNA". It matches the Rfam family "Bacterial small subunit ribosomal RNA", at positions 26 to 518 of the family's 1533-position model. The record is from RNAcentral.
AGGACGAACGCUGGCGGCGUGCCUAACACAUGCAAGUCGAGCGAGGAGAUUCCUUCGGGAUGAUCCUAGCGGCGGACGGGUGAGUAACACGUGGGCAACCUGCCUCAUAGAGAGGAAUAGCCUUCCGAAAGGGAGAUUAAUACCUCAUAACAUUGCAGUUUCGCAUGGAACAGCAAUUAAAGGAGCAAUCCACUAUGAGAUGGGCCCGCGGCGCAUUAGCUAGUUGGUGAGGUAACGGCUCACCAAGGCGACGAUGCGUAGCCGACCUGAGAGGGUGAUCGGCCACAUUGGGACUGAGACACGGCCCAGACUCCUACGGGAGGCAGCAGUGGGGAAUAUUGCACAAUGGGGGAAACCCUGAUGCAGCCAACGCCGCGUGAGUGAUGACGGCCUUCGGGUUGUAAAGCUCUGUCUUCAGGGACGAUAAUGACGGUACCUGAGGAGGAAGCCACGGCUAACUACGUGCCAGCAGCUGC